UACGAAGGGGGCUAGCGUUGCUCGGAAUCACUGGGCGUAAAGCGCACGUAGGCGGAUUGCUAAGUCAGGGGUGAAAUCCUGGAGCUCAACUCCAGAACUGCCCUUGAUACUGGCGGUCUCGAGUCCGGGAGAGGUGAGUGGAACUGCGAGUGUAGAGGUGAAAUUCGUAGAUAUUCGCAAGAACACCUGUGGCGAAGGCGGCUCACUGGCCCGGUACUGACGCUGAGGUGCGAAAGCGUGGGGAGCAAACAGG
RNAcentral lists this ribosomal RNA (253 nucleotides) under uncultured bacterium. Its description in RNAcentral is "partial 16S ribosomal RNA". It matches the Rfam family "Bacterial small subunit ribosomal RNA", at positions 524 to 776 of the family's 1533-position model. The record is from RNAcentral.